Salarias fasciatus (jewelled blenny) is the source of this 513-nucleotide long non-coding RNA. RefSeq lists it as uncharacterized. Lineage: Eukaryota; Metazoa; Chordata; Actinopteri; Blenniiformes; Blenniidae. The transcript is spliced from 3 exons. The record is from RefSeq and is a predicted model, not a curated record.
AAAACAUGAUGCGAGAUACUGCGAUUAUUCAGCAGCACAAUGUUUAGUAUUAUUUAGCAGGAUUUGCAGGAUGUCAGCUGAUAUUUUACAGUGUUUUGCAUAUCGGGCACAUUAAAAGCAAGGAGGGAAACAAGACGCAAAGGAGAAGAGGGUGAAGGAGAGAAAGACACACAGCUGCAGCGAUAAAGGGAAGGAUUUUGGAGAUGCCACCUCAUCCAGAUGUCAGAUGGACUCUCCUGUAUUUUGUCCUUUUGUCAGAGAUCUGCUCAUGUCUCCAUCAUUACUACUUCAUUGAGGAGGAAAAGACUUGGUUGGAAGCCAAGAGGCACUGUGAGCAGAACGACUCUGUCCUGGCCACCGUGAACAACCAGCAAAAUGUGGUGCAGCUGCUUGCAGCUGUUGCCAAUGGCUUUAAGGGAAAUGUGUGGAUUGGCCUACAUAUUGAAUUAACAGAGUGGAGGUGGUCUCUGAAUAAUGGAAGUGCAACCUUUACACGCUGGAAAGCAGGACAAC